AGCUCCAAUAGCGUAUAUUUUAGUUGUUGCAGUUAAAAAGCUCGUAGUUGAAUUUCUGGUGGGGGAAUGCGGUCUGACCCUUAGGGUUAGCACUUGCACUCUCCGGCCAUCCUUGGGUGGAGCCAUUCUGGCAUUAAGUUGUCGGGGUGGGGAUGCCCAUCGUUUACUGUGAAAAAAUUAGAGUGUUCAAAGCAGACUUAUGUCGUUGAAUAUAUUAGCAUGGAAUAAUAAGAUAGGACAGCAGUGCUAUUUUGUUGGUUUGCGCACCGUUGUAAUGAUGAAUAGGGACAGUUGUGGGUAUUCGUAUUCACUUGUAAGAGGUGAAAUUCUUAGAUUAAGGGAAGACGAACUACUGCGAAAGCAUUUACCAAGGAUGUUU
This 379-nucleotide ribosomal RNA is filed under the name uncultured eukaryote. Its description in RNAcentral is "SSU rRNA". It matches the Rfam family "Eukaryotic small subunit ribosomal RNA", at positions 587 to 969 of the family's 1831-position model. The record is from RNAcentral.